Molecule: ribosomal RNA, 486 nt
Filed under: uncultured Prauseria sp. (ex Zhou et al. 1997)
Lineage: Bacteria; Bacillati; Actinomycetota; Actinomycetes; Pseudonocardiales; Pseudonocardiaceae
Description: uncultured Prauseria sp. bacterial SSU rRNA
Rfam family: Bacterial small subunit ribosomal RNA
Source: RNAcentral
GCCUGAGAGGGCGACCGGCCACACUGGGACUGAGACACGGCCCAGACUCCUGCGGGAGGCAGCAGUGGGGAAUAUUGCGCAAUGGGCGAAAGCCUGACGCAGCGACGCCGCGUGGGGGAUGACGGCCUUCGGGUUGUAAACCUCUUUUACCACCAACGCAGGCUCCGGGUUCUCUCGGGGUUGACGGUAGGUGGGGAAUAAGGACCGGCUAACUACGUGCCAGCAGCCGCGGUAAUACGUAGGGUCCGAGCGUUGUCCGGAAUUAUUGGGCGUAAAGAGCUCGUAGGCGGCGUGUCGCGUCUGCUGUGAAAGACCGGGGCUUAACUCCGGUUCUGCAGUGGAUACGGGCAUGCUAGAGGUAGGUAGGGGAGACUGGAAUUCCUGGUGUAGCGGUGAAAUGCGCAGAUAUCAGGAGGAACACCGGUGGCGAAGGCGGGUCUCUGGGCCUCACCUGACGCUGAGGAGCGAAAGCAUGGGGAGCGAACA